This 73-nucleotide transfer RNA is filed under the name Camelus bactrianus (Bactrian camel). It matches the Rfam family "tRNA". From Rfam's summary of the family: Transfer RNA (tRNA) molecules are approximately 80 nucleotides in length. Their secondary structure includes four short double-helical elements and three loops (D, anti-codon, and T loops). The record is from Rfam by way of RNAcentral. Lineage: Eukaryota; Metazoa; Chordata; Mammalia; Artiodactyla; Camelidae. RNAcentral also lists the same sequence under 2 other names.
GAGGGUAUAGCUUAAGUGGUAGAGGGUAUGCUCAGCAUGCACAAGGUCCUGGGUUCAAUCCCCAGUACCUCCU